GUUCCAGACAGGAAGUCCAGGACCCCAUUCUACGGCCUGGCAGGUAUAGGAAGUCCAAGACCCCAUUCUACGGCCUGGCGGGUAUAGGCAAACAGUCUAUGCUUGGUGAAUGGUAAGUACAGGUGUUAUAUACACAUAUACAUAUAUAGGACAGGAAGACCAGGACCCCAGUCUACGACCUGGCACGGUUUACUGGGACUAUGUGGUGACAGGUUUACUCUUGAUGUGGAUUGUCUGUGUUAUGAUGCAU
RNAcentral lists this long non-coding RNA (250 nucleotides) under Manihot esculenta (cassava). Its description in RNAcentral is "long non-coding RNA (MESC_LNC007436)". Lineage: Eukaryota; Viridiplantae; Streptophyta; Magnoliopsida; Malpighiales; Euphorbiaceae. The record is from RNAcentral.